RNAcentral lists this ribosomal RNA (354 nucleotides) under Synoeca cyanea. RNAcentral's name for it is "partial 12S ribosomal RNA". Lineage: Eukaryota; Metazoa; Arthropoda; Insecta; Hymenoptera; Vespidae. The record is from RNAcentral.
AAUGAAAUUUAAUUAAAUUAAUUAUAAAUUAUUAAAUGUUAAAUCAUUAAAUUUAAAAGAUUUGGCGGUAUUUUAUAAAGUUAGAGGAACCUGUAUAGUAAUUGAUAAUCCACAAUAAGAUAUACUUAAUUAAAAGUUUAUGUAUUGCUGUUUUAAGAUUAUUAAUAAAUAAGUUUUUAAAUUUUUAUAUAUAAAUAAAUUCAAGUCAAAAUAUAAUUUAGUUAAGAUUAAUAUGGGUUACAAUUAUUUAAAUAUAAAAUUUUAAUGAAUAAAUAAAUUUAAUUUUGUUUUAAAAAUGGAUUUAAUAGUAAAUUUAAUAAAUAAAUUAUUUUGAAAUAAAAUAAUAAAAUAAGU